Molecule: transfer RNA, 62 nt
Filed under: Ameletus sp. 1 MT-2014
Lineage: Eukaryota; Metazoa; Arthropoda; Insecta; Ephemeroptera; Ameletidae
Description: tRNA-Gly
Source: RNAcentral
ACUUGUUUAGUAUAUAAGUAUGGUUGACUUCCAAUCAGCAGGUUUGGUUUCCAAAACAAGUA